RNAcentral lists this ribosomal RNA (252 nucleotides) under uncultured bacterium. RNAcentral's name for it is "partial 16S ribosomal RNA". It matches the Rfam family "Bacterial small subunit ribosomal RNA", at positions 524 to 776 of the family's 1533-position model. The record is from RNAcentral.
UACGUAGGUCCCGAGCGUUGUCCGGAUUUAUUGGGCGUAAAGCGAGCGCAGGUGGUUUAUUAAGUCUGGUGUAAAAGGCAGUGGCUCAACCAUCGUGUGCAUUGGAAACUGGUAGACUUGAGUGCAGGAGAGGAGAGUGGAAUUCCAUGUGUAGCGGUGAAAUGCGUAGAUAUAUGGAGGAACACCGGUGGCGAAAGCGGCUCUCUGGCCUGUAACUGACACUGAGGCUCGAAAGCGUGGGGAGCAAACAGG